GCAUUUGCAGGUAGAGCUCUUUCUGAACAGUACUGGACUGGUCCACUUUUGGAGUAAAUAUUCACCAAAAUCCCCAAAUUUCAUUUAUACCCAUAAACAAAUCUGUGACCCUGGACUGUCAGCAUGAUGA
This is a long non-coding RNA of Alosa sapidissima (American shad), 130 nucleotides long. RefSeq lists it as uncharacterized. The record is from RefSeq and is a predicted model, not a curated record. The transcript has 2 exons. NCBI's taxonomy places the organism in Eukaryota, Metazoa, Chordata, Actinopteri, Clupeiformes, Clupeidae.